CCUACGGGAGGCAGCAGUAAGGAAUAUUGCUCAAUGGGCGCAACCCUGAAGCAGCAACGCAGCGUUGAGGAUGAAUGUUUUAAGAUUGGAAACUCCUUUUGAUAAAGAAGUAAAGUACGGUAUCUAACCAAUAAUCACCGUCUAACACCAUGCCAGCAGCCGCGGUAAUACGGAGGGUGCAACCGUUACUCGGAAUCACUGGGCGUAAAGCGGGCGUAGGUGGGAUAUCAAGUCAGUUGUGAAAGCCUAUGGCUUAACCAUAGAAUUGCAAUGGAAACUGUUAUUCUUGAGUAGGUGAGAGGUAGGUGGAAUUCGUGGUGUAGCGGUGAAAUCCGUAGAGAUCACGAGGAACACUGAUUGCGAAGGCGACCUGCUAGAACAUCACUGACGCUGAUGCGCGAAAGCGUGGGGAGCAAACAGGAUUAGAUACCCGGGUAGUC
This 440-nucleotide ribosomal RNA is filed under the name uncultured bacterium. RNAcentral describes it as "partial 16S ribosomal RNA". It matches the Rfam family "Bacterial small subunit ribosomal RNA", at positions 338 to 795 of the family's 1533-position model. The record is from RNAcentral.